RNAcentral lists this small RNA (170 nucleotides) under unclassified sequences. RNAcentral describes it as "Manganese sequence". It matches the Rfam family "Manganese Mn2+ riboswitch aptamer (yybP-ykoY)". Rfam says of the family: This RNA was originally discovered in E. coli during a large scale screen and was named SraF. The family was later found to exist upstream of related families of protein genes in many bacteria, including the the yybP and ykoK genes in B. subtilis. The specific functions of these proteins are unknown, but this structured RNA element may be involved in their genetic regulation as a riboswitch. The record is from RNAcentral.
CCCUCAGUCAUUGGGGAGUAGCUGACCUGCGCAACGCAGGAGCCCGCGUCAACACACUUGGCCUUUCGGCCAUGGCGCGAGCAGCUUCAGAGCCUGGCAAGACCUUUGACCACGUCACCUCGGUAUGGGCCGGGAAGUGGCGUGGUCUUCGCGUCGCUGGCCCAGGAGUU